AAGAAAUCACAGUUGUUGUCACCAUGCAUACAUUCGAUUCAUUCAAACUGAAUUCGUGAGCGCAUGGGGCAGGCAGGGAGUAAAAAACAGAGCACAAUUAAACACGACAGUCUCGGGACCAACUCGCCCGCGUCAAUCCAACAGCCAUCCAUAGUUCGUUCGAGCAGGGUGUACAAGAUCGGUGAUUGUGUACGGCUCCAUGGUGCCGAUUGUCGUUUUGUAUAUAUCAAUCAUCCGUAACUGCGGGAGAUUCUGGAAAUCGUUCUUCUUGACGAUCAACAUUGUGCCGAAUCUUAUAGUGAGUCGGACGACGUAGGGCAGAGGCCCCACUGCACAGAUCUUGGACGCUAUGUUGUUGCUGAUUCAGUGAUGUAAUUGGAUCUGUGUGUGGCCGGUUCGACGAUGGCCGGAACGUUAUCUGAACUGCGGCUACAGCAAAUUCGGAUUUGGCGAACUGUUGGACAUUGCGUCUGUGCGGAUCAGGCAGCAUAUGGGGAAAACAGCAAAAAACGUUUUGUGGUGGAU
Molecule: long non-coding RNA, 525 nt
Organism: Paramacrobiotus metropolitanus
Lineage: Eukaryota; Metazoa; Tardigrada; Eutardigrada; Parachela; Macrobiotidae
Exons: 4
Source: RefSeq, a predicted model, not a curated record